Molecule: long non-coding RNA, 527 nt
Organism: Monodelphis domestica (gray short-tailed opossum)
Lineage: Eukaryota; Metazoa; Chordata; Mammalia; Didelphimorphia; Didelphidae
Source: RefSeq, a predicted model, not a curated record
GACAAGGGCACAAUACAGAGACUCAAGCCCCAUUAAAAAGUGCCUGAGCCAUUUUGAUUUCAUUUUCAAGGCUGAGGUCCAAAUGGUAGCUGGGGGAAAAAGAGAGAGAGACCUCUAAUUGUUUGCCAUUUUCUUUCUGAAACAGAAACCAACAGCGUUAAUGUGGCAUGUGACAUGCCCACCAGCUGCCACUCAAUUUUCCUGUUUUCUCUGCUGGGGGUACAAGAGCAAGCUUUGACUCAGUACAUUCCCUCUCAACUCCAUGUUUCUCGCUCCUUCAGGAUCUCAGCCCCAUCAGAAAGGGGGCACGGAGGGAGUUAUUUCUUCUUCACUCCUCUCCUCACUGAAUGGGUCCCUGUAACAACAAAAACAUUCCUCAAAAAAAAAAAAAUCCAACAAAACUGACUGACCAGACAGCCUCCUUUGACACCAGUUCUACAUCAGUAAAUUCCACCAUUGCAGUGAGGAGGAAAAUAUUCAUCCUCAUCAAUUUUCCAAGAAUAAAAUGGUUUCUAUCAUUCUCUAUA